CACGUAGGGGGCGAGCGUUGUCCGGAUUUAUUGGGCGUAAAGAGCUCGUAGGCGGUUUGGCAAGUCGGGUGUGAAAUUUCGAGGCUCAACCUCGAAACGCCACUCGAUACUGCCAUGACUGGAGUCCGGUAGAGGAGUGCGGAAUUCCUGGUGUAGCGGUGAAAUGCGCAGACAUCAGGAGGAACACCAACGGCGAAGGCAGCACUCUGGGCCGGUACUGACGCUGAGGAGCGAAAGCGUGGGGAGCAAACAGG
RNAcentral lists this ribosomal RNA (254 nucleotides) under uncultured bacterium. Its description in RNAcentral is "partial 16S ribosomal RNA". It matches the Rfam family "Bacterial small subunit ribosomal RNA", at positions 524 to 776 of the family's 1533-position model. The record is from RNAcentral.